CAAAACAAGAAAUCCAAUCUGGGCGUUGCCCUAAUCCAGAACAAUGGCGAGACCGACGAUCACCCGGCAAUUAAUCCCUUCCUCUUCAACCACCCCCGGUGCGGCCACUGCCACCACCACCAUAACCCUUGAAACGGGGUCAUCCUCCAAUCAACAGCAGCCGCAGAUUAGAGAUUCUUUAGUGCUGAAACUGAAGCGUCCUAAAAAGAAGGUUUCGUGGAAGGAAGGGACCGUUGACAACGAGUUUAUGAACAAAAAGAGCUCCAAGAAGUGCUGUAUUUUUCACAAGGAAAAGCCUUUUGAUGAGGAUGAUUCUGAUGUCGAAGGCGACUGCGAUCACGAUCAUCGUAAUAAUGGAAGAGAUAGCAAUGAAAAACAUAACCACAAUCAUGGAGGCGAUGGAAACUGCUGCCAUGCUCCGUGAGUCGGUCAUAGAUUGAUUGCGGACGUUCUGUUAGAUUCUAUAUCAAUGCUUAGUUGCUUGCAGACAAUUCUUGGAGAGGAGGAUCCAUCUCGAAGAUUCAUCGGUAUUGUUUUUCUAGGAGGGGUUUUGAUAGAUUGCAAAUUUUAGUAGAGUUGUGUUGCUGAUAUGAGGUAUAGAUGUCGGUUUAUACGGGAAAUACUCAUCCAAAGGCCUUUGAGAGCUUGCGGCAAUCGCGAUCGUCUCAUGGUUCAGCCAAUAUAUCAAUAUUAUAAUGUGUAAUUGCUUAAGUUAUGAUUUUCAGAGUUAUCAUUUGUUUUAAGACAUGGAGGAGUUAUAGCAGUAAUCUGAUGAUUGACACUCAUUAUGGAUUUACAAAUCCGACCCAAUAUUGCGCUUUGAUAAAAUGGUAUAUUGUAGGGCCUGAGGCCUGAACUCCAUUA
Sesamum indicum (sesame) is the source of this 864-nucleotide RNA transcript. It is a transcript of the gene named inhibitor-3, with no coding region annotated. Lineage: Eukaryota; Viridiplantae; Streptophyta; Magnoliopsida; Lamiales; Pedaliaceae. The record is from RefSeq and is a predicted model, not a curated record.